UACGUAGGGUGCAAGCGUUGUCCGGAAUUAUUGGGCGUAAAGAGCUUGUAGGCGGUUUGUCGCGUCUGCUGUGAAAUUUCGGGGCUCAACCCCCGAACUUGCAGUGGGUACGGGCAGACUAGAGUGUGGUAGGGGAGACUGGAAUUCCUGGUGUAGCGGUGAAAUGCGCAGAUAUCAGGAGGAACACCGAUGGCGAAGGCAGGUCUCUGGGCCAUAACUGACGCUGAGAAGCGAAAGCAUGGGGAGCGAACAGG
RNAcentral lists this ribosomal RNA (254 nucleotides) under uncultured bacterium. RNAcentral's name for it is "partial 16S ribosomal RNA". It matches the Rfam family "Bacterial small subunit ribosomal RNA", at positions 524 to 776 of the family's 1533-position model. The record is from RNAcentral.